Molecule: long non-coding RNA, 375 nt
Organism: Aphis gossypii (cotton aphid)
Lineage: Eukaryota; Metazoa; Arthropoda; Insecta; Hemiptera; Aphididae
Exons: 3
Source: RefSeq, a predicted model, not a curated record
GAGAAACGAAAUACCGCAAAGAAUAUUAUAUCGAAUCGCUCCGCCAUCGCCACCACCGUAUAAUAAUGUUGAUUUUUUUUUUUUAUAGAACAAUAUAAUAUAAAGACCGAUUUUAUUAUGUGAAAUUGCUCGGCAGCAACGGCCGGAUAACGAUGCGGAACGAUCAAAAACAAUAAUGUCCUUAAGUUGUGAUCGCGCACUGUACACAAAUCGCCAAUUAAUUUAUGUGAAAACGCAGAAUAGCCCGUUUAAAUAGACUGAACGCUAAAAAAAGCGCCAAACUUCGUGUCGUGAAAUGUUGCCAUUCUCUGAUUGGUCCAACUAUGUGGUACGAUAUGGUUUAUACCACCAUUUUUAUGAUUUCAACUGUGGUUA